GACGAACGCUGGCGGCGUGCCUAAUACAUGCAAGUUGAGCGCUGAAGGUUGGUACUUGUACCGACUGGAUGAGCAGCGAACGGGUGAGUAACGCGUGGGGAAUCUGCCUUUGAGCGGGGGACAACAUUUGGAAACGAAUGCUAAUACCGCAUAAAAACUUUAAACACAAGUUUUAAGUUUAAAAGAUGCAAUUGCAUCACUCAAAGAUGAUCCCGCGUUGUAUUAGCUAGUUGGUGAGGCAAAGGCUCACCAAGGCGAUGAUACAUAGCCGACCGGAGAGGGUGAUCGGCCACAUUGGGACUGAGACACGGCCCAAACUCCGACGGGAGGCAGCAGUAGGGAAUCUUCGGCAAUGGACGAAAGUCUGACCGAGCAACGCCGCGUGAGUGAAGAAGGUUUUCGGAUCGUAAAACUCUGUUGGUAGAGAAGAACGUUGGUGAGAGUGGAAAGCUCAUCAAGUGACGGUAACUACCCAGAAAGGGACGGCUAACUACGUUCCAGCCGCCGCGGUAA
RNAcentral lists this ribosomal RNA (513 nucleotides) under uncultured bacterium. RNAcentral describes it as "partial 16S ribosomal RNA". It matches the Rfam family "Bacterial small subunit ribosomal RNA", at positions 28 to 523 of the family's 1533-position model. The record is from RNAcentral.